GCGCAGCAGGCGAGAAAACUUUACAAUGUGCGAAAGCACGAUAAGGGAACUCUGAGUGCCUCCUAAGGAGGCUGUUCUGAUGUCUAAAAAGCAACAGAAGUAAGGGCUGGGUAAGACCGGUGCCAGCCGCCGCGGUAACACCGGCGAGCCCAAGUGGGUAGCCACGUUUAUUGGGUCUAAAGCGUUCGUAGCCGGCCGAGGUAAGUUCCUUGGUAAAUUUAGCCGCUUAACGGUUAAGCUUUCAGGGAAUACUGCUUGGCUUGGGACUGGGGAGAGGUCAGAGGUACUCCGGGGGUAGGGGUGAAAUCUAUUAAUCCCUGGGGGACCACCGGUAGCGAAGGCGUCUGACCAGACCAGGUCCGACGGUGAGGGGACGAAGGCUGGGGGGCGCGGAACCGGAUUAGAUACCCGGGGUAGU
This 418-nucleotide ribosomal RNA is filed under the name uncultured microorganism. Its description in RNAcentral is "bacterial SSU rRNA". It matches the Rfam family "Archaeal small subunit ribosomal RNA", at positions 330 to 745 of the family's 1478-position model. The record is from RNAcentral.